Molecule: ribosomal RNA, 253 nt
Filed under: uncultured prokaryote
Description: partial 16S ribosomal RNA
Rfam family: Bacterial small subunit ribosomal RNA
Source: RNAcentral
UACGAGGGGGGCGAGCGUUGUUCGGAAUUAUUGGGCGUAAAGGGCGCGUAGGCGGUGCGGUAAGUCACCUGUGAAAUCUCUGGGCUCAACUCAGAGUCUGCAGGCGAAACUGCCGUGCUUGAGUGUGGGAGAGGUGAGUGGAAUUCCCGGUGUAGCGGUGAAAUGCGUAGAUAUCGAGAGGAACACCUGCGGCGAAGGCGGGUUGCUGGGCUGACACUGACGCUGAAGCGCGAAAGCUAGGGGAGCGAACGGG